Glycine soja is the source of this 1292-nucleotide RNA transcript. It is a transcript of the gene named probable sphingolipid transporter spinster homolog 2, with no coding region annotated. The record is from RefSeq and is a predicted model, not a curated record. NCBI's taxonomy places the organism in Eukaryota, Viridiplantae, Streptophyta, Magnoliopsida, Fabales, Fabaceae. The transcript has 12 exons.
AUGGGGUGCUGGGUAAGUGAAGGAGAGAAAUAUUCAUUCUUUUUCAAUUUUGGUUAUUUGGGUGUGGGAAGUAAAGGAACGUGCACUGAGGGUGGUAGCUGCACUUCUGGUUCUGGAAUACAUGUAAAUCCAUUUAGACUUAUAGGUGUUGGAUACUUGGAUUACCAGUUUGGACUCUUGCAACCCUAUGUAGUGGAUUUUCUUUUAAUUUCUGGUCCAUUUCGAUCUGUCGCAUGCUAGUCGGUGUUGGUGAGGCUUCAUAAGUCUUGCAGCACCUUUUAUUGAUGACAAUGCCCCAGUUACCCAGAAAACAGCAUGGCUUGCAAUAUUUUACAUGCAUAUACCAUCGGGAUAUGCACUUGGCUAUGUCUACGGUUGUUUGGUUGGAAGUCAUUUGGGUUGGCGUUAUGCAUUCUGGGUAGAGUCUUUGCUGAUGGUUCCAUUUGCUAUUUCAGGACUUUUUAUGAAGCCUCUGCAAUUGAGAGGUCUUGUUCCUGCUGAUUCAAAAAAGGCACUGACACCUGAGACAGUUGCGUCAGGAGUUCAAGUUAUGGAGGCUUCAAAUGGAAGAGAUGAGUCACUGUCCUUGAAGGCAGAGCUUAGGGAUAAAAGCUCAAAUGAUCAUUCCAAGUCAAAAUCUGCAACCCAAAUAUUUGAGCAGUUCUUGAGAUUUUUGAAUGAUAUGAAAGAACUUUGGCUUGAUAAGGUUUAUGUUGUCAAUGUUCUAGGUUACAUAGCAUACAACUUUGUCAUAGGUGCUUACUCAUACUGGGGGCCCAAAGCUGGCUAUAAUACAUAUCACAUGCUUCUCUCAAUGACUACAUUUAUUGGUGCUGCAUUUUGUUUUGGUGCCUUCUUAUUCAGAAGCAUGUAUGGCUUCCUUGCUCUUUUCUCUAUUGGUGAACUUCUUGUUUUUGCCACUCAGAUGUACCUUCCUCGCCUCUUGUUGGAGUUCUCCAGGUCAGCCUUUAUAGUUUUAUUUGACAAGUUCAUUAACAUGGAAUAUUUUUGCAUAGUGUGGAUAGAUUUGAUGAAGACAGUGAACAUCAAGUAUCAAACGUUGAAAGGUCAAACACCAUGCCGUUGCUUCAAGAGAAGACUGGAGAAACAUCAGCAUCUCCUGCUCAAUCCCAAUAAUGAGUUUCUUUUAAUGGCUGACCAAACACAGUAUUUCAGUGAUAACCACUAUGAUGUAAAUAACUUUUUUUUGUACAUCCAAUGUGUACAAGUAUGUAUUUGCUUUUGGUUAAUGGAGAUUAUUUAGCAAGAGUAUAUUUCAGUUUUAUGCUUCA